CAGUAGCCGCGGUAACACGGAGGGGGCUAGCGUUGUUCGGAAUUACUGGGCGUAAAGCGCACGUAGGCGGCUUUGUAAGUCAGAGGUGAAAGCCCGGGGCUCAACCCCGGAAUUGCCUUUGAGACUGCAUCGCUUGAAUCCAGGAGAGGUAAGUGGAAUUCCGAGUGUAGAGGUGAAAUUCGUAGAUAUUCGGAAGAACACCAGUGGCGAAGGCGGCUCACUGGACUGGUAUUGACGCUGAGGUGCGAAAGCGUGGGGAGCAAACAGGAUUAGAUACCCGAGUAGUCCCUGUCUCUUAUAC
Molecule: ribosomal RNA, 301 nt
Filed under: uncultured bacterium
Lineage: Bacteria
Description: partial 16S ribosomal RNA
Rfam family: Bacterial small subunit ribosomal RNA
Source: RNAcentral